RNAcentral lists this long non-coding RNA (1763 nucleotides) under Homo sapiens (human). RNAcentral describes it as "long independently transcribed non-coding RNA 1020 (LINC01020)". Lineage: Eukaryota; Metazoa; Chordata; Mammalia; Primates; Hominidae. The record is from RNAcentral.
GGCCCCAAAACAGAAAGGAAAGCUCACCACCAGAAUGUGCCUUUUCCUUAUCAAAAAGAAUUGCUGCCCCUUACAGGACAGGAGGACUCCAAUUGUGACCAAGUUGGAGCAGCCUUGAGCCACAACUCAGACUUAUUUUCAUUCUCUGCUCAUUGGCCAUUAGGAACCCGAUCCUUAUGACCUGCAGUGACCUGCUGCUACCAGAACUGACUCGCUUCAAAGUGACGGAUGAAACCCAUAUGGAGAUAUUCCUGGGGUGGGUAGGCCAGUUGGAAGACAGAGUGUUUACACCUGAGAGAGGACUUGAGAAUUUUACUCAGUCACGUUGCUCACUGCUGCGCACUCCUGCAGACGCAUCCCAGUGGACUCUGCGCUGCAUCCCCAGAGUACAGCGAGUUUCCCGCCUCCCGUUAGAGAUCCAACACAUAUUUUUUUUGAAAGAAGAAACUGAUGGAAGACAGGAAGCAAAAAGGAGAGGAAGGAAAGGGAUAGGAAGGAGGGGAAGGAAAGGGAAAGGAAGGAAAAGAAAGGAAAGUGAACUUGAAAUCCUACAAGGUCUCAAAGUCAAAAAACAUGAUUGCUGUUUUAGAGAAUUGAAGAUCCUUCAUCUUCAAGAAUCUGAAAUCUACCAUGAUCUUCACAUGUAGCCAAACACAAUGGGAUGUAGUCAUUUAAGAGUGCUGUGAAGGCAGUGAAAAGCAGUUGAAAUACCAUUAGUUAACAGAUUGCCCAAUGAAGUCGAUGACAACUGUGAUAACAAGUUACUCACUAUCACAGCGUCUCCAAGAGAUGAACAGUGGAUGAUGCUUCCAAAGCACAGAUGUCCCUCUCCUCCUCAACCUUCUCUCCCCAGAAAGAUGUCAACACUGUGGAGAUUGUGCUAUGAAGAUACCUGCACCCAGUUCCGGAUUUCACACCAAGCCUUUGCUGAGGAUAUGAGAGUAAUAAAAAGGGGAGCCCUGGUUCUUCCUCUCCUUUAGUGUCUUUCCUGGAAGUGGACUGCGAGAAGAGCUUCUUCAGCCACCUUCUGCCUGCAGACAACCUCCAUGAGUUUGCUUUAGAAGAAGGCUUCAAUUUGAAGAAAGUCAAAUAAAACAAGGUCAUUGUGUUUGCAAUUGAUCCUUGGAGACAGCGACAUCUGCGAAGCUUCCAAGCCACGGUGGUUCCACCUUCACAAGUAUCCUUCAAAGGCAUCCUGCAACCACCCCAUCCAUCCAAGUACUCCGUUGUAGGAUUCAAAAGCAAAUUGCAGGGUUUGCUGCCUGGCAGAGAAGCAUAGACACAAAGCAUGAGAGAGCAAAACCUAUGAGUUGACCAUAUCAUAAACACAAAUAGAUAUAUGCAGAAUACCAGCUAAAAAAUAGGCAAUAAACUUAAACAAUAGGACUAUGAGUAGACAUAGCAAGUGCUGGGUAGAGAUGACAGUUUUGUGUCCUGUUAGAGCUAAGUCAGAAAUCUGGGUCGAAGUGAAUGUGAGGGAGGAAAAGGCCAUUACAAUAUUUAAGAAGCAGCUCCAAUAUUUUUAAAACGUGAAGGAAAACUUGCAAGCAAUCUCUAGGGCUGGAGGGAGAGAAAUGCAAAGCCCUCUCAGCCUGCUCCACCAUUAUCUUUUGCAUUCCAAUAACUGACAUGCUGCUGAAUGUUAUGACUAUUUGUUUAUUGUUGACUGUUCUUGGCACUGCUCAGUGUAGCCAAAGAUUCCUUGCCUACAAGAAAGUCUUGCUCAGACAAUAAACCACGGAGAAAGAAAAAAAAAAAAAAAA